This 403-nucleotide ribosomal RNA is filed under the name uncultured bacterium. RNAcentral's name for it is "partial 16S ribosomal RNA". It matches the Rfam family "Bacterial small subunit ribosomal RNA", at positions 30 to 526 of the family's 1533-position model. The record is from RNAcentral.
AUUGAACGCUGGCGGCAGGCCUAACACAUGCAAGUCGAGCGGAGCGGGGACGGGUGAGUAACUCGUGGGUAACCUCCCAUCAGAGGGGAUAACACUUGGAAACAGGUGCUAAACCGAUAUUGAUGGCUGGACCCGCGGUGCAUUAGCUAGUUGGUGAGGUAACGGCUCACCAAGGCCACGAUGCAUAGCCGACCUGAGAGGGUGAUCGGCCACACUGUGACUGAGACACGGCCCAGACUCCUACGGGGGGCAGCAGUAGGGAAUCUUCGGCAAUGGACGAAAGUCUGACCGAGAAAAGCCGCGUGAGUGAAGAAGGUUUGCGGAUCGUAAAACUCUGUUGUUAGAGAAGCGGUAUCUAACCAGAAAGCCACGGCUAACUACGUGCCAGCAGCCGCGGUAAUAC